AUCAUGGUUUGGCGAGAUUUGGCUCAGUUGAAAAAAGGUUGCCCACACUGAGCAUGGCCCCUGUGCAAGGAUGACACGCAAAUUCGUGAAGAGUUCCAUAUUUAA
This is a small nuclear RNA of Suncus etruscus (white-toothed pygmy shrew), 105 nucleotides long. NCBI's taxonomy places the organism in Eukaryota, Metazoa, Chordata, Mammalia, Eulipotyphla, Soricidae. The record is from RefSeq and is a predicted model, not a curated record.